Long non-coding RNA from Rhipicephalus microplus (southern cattle tick), 391 nucleotides. RefSeq lists it as uncharacterized. The record is from RefSeq and is a predicted model, not a curated record. NCBI's taxonomy places the organism in Eukaryota, Metazoa, Arthropoda, Arachnida, Ixodida, Ixodidae.
CAGACGGGCAGCUGUGCCGGCGUCGGCGCUGAUGCGAGCUCUGCCUCACAAAUACUGCGUGCUUAUUUUAGAUGUGAACUUUGAGAAGACGUUCACACGUAUGGACUUUCUGUUUCUUGUUUAACAUCAGUAGACUGGAACCGCCUUCGCGGAUCUGUGGCCAUCUUGAUCGAUCAUCACUUGUUUCGUUUUGCGCUGACUAGCAUUGUAUAAACGCCCGCACUCACUUAUUUGUUCUGUUUGUACAAAAUGCUUAUGUUUUGUUCUUUUUUGUUUAGUUAUUUUUCAUUGUUAGCUAACAUUGUAUGAGUAAAAAAAAUUGUGUUUCACCCCCCUCCAUAAUGCCUUUGGCCCGGAGGGUAGUAUGAAAUAAAUAAACGAAUAAAAAUUC